RNAcentral lists this transfer RNA (69 nucleotides) under Podarcis lilfordi (Lilford's wall lizard). RNAcentral describes it as "tRNA.Thr". The stretch from base 3 to 61 matches the Rfam family "tRNA", at positions 8 to 63 of the family's 71-position model. From Rfam's summary of the family: Transfer RNA (tRNA) molecules are approximately 80 nucleotides in length. Their secondary structure includes four short double-helical elements and three loops (D, anti-codon, and T loops). The record is from RNAcentral. Lineage: Eukaryota; Metazoa; Chordata; Lepidosauria; Squamata; Lacertidae.
GAUAGCUCAGCUGGUUGGAGCAUGGUGCUGGUAACGCCAAGGUUGCAGGUUCAAUCCCUGUAAGGGACA